This 483-nucleotide ribosomal RNA is filed under the name uncultured bacterium. RNAcentral's name for it is "partial 16S ribosomal RNA". It matches the Rfam family "Bacterial small subunit ribosomal RNA", at positions 28 to 507 of the family's 1533-position model. The record is from RNAcentral.
GACGAACGCUGGCGGCGUGCUUAACACAUGCAAGUCGAACGCUGAAGCUCAGCUUUUGUUGGGUGGAUGAGUGGCGAACGGGUGAGUAACACGUGAGUAACCUGCCCCCUUCUUUGGGAUAACGCCCGGAAACGGGUGCUAAUACUGGAUAUUCACUGGUCUUCGCAUGGGGGUUGGUGGAAAGGGUUUUUCUGGUGGGGGAUGGGCUCGCGGCCUAUCAGCUUGUUGGUGGGGUGAUGGCCUACCAAGGCUUUGACGGGUAGCCGGCCUGAGAGGGUGACCGGUCACAUUGGGACUGAGAUACGGCCCAGACUCGUACGGGAGGCAGCAGUGGGGAAUAUUGCACAAUGGGCGCAAGCCUGAUGCAGCGACGCCGCGUGAGGGAUGGAGGCCUUCGGGUUGUGAACCUCUUUCGCUCAUGGUCAAGCCGCAACAAUGGUUGUGGUGAGGGUAGUGGGUAAAGAAGCGCCGGCUAACUACGUG